This 450-nucleotide ribosomal RNA is filed under the name uncultured bacterium. RNAcentral's name for it is "bacterial SSU rRNA". It matches the Rfam family "Bacterial small subunit ribosomal RNA", at positions 354 to 796 of the family's 1533-position model. The record is from RNAcentral.
GUGGGGAAUUUUGGACAAUGGGCGCAAGCCUGAUCCAGCCAUGCCGCGUGUCUGAAGAAGGCCUUCGGGUUGUAAAGGACUUUUGUCAGGGAAGAAAAGCCCCGGGCUAAUACCCCGGGGUGAUGACGGUACCUGAAGAAUAAGCACCGGCUAACUACGUGCCAGCAGCCGCGGUAAUACGUAGGGUGCGAGCGUUAAUCGGAAUUACUGGGCGUAAAGCGAGCGCAGACGGUUACUUAAGCAGGAUGUGAAAUCCCCGGGCUUAACCUGGGAACUGCGUUCUGAACUGGGUGACUAGAGUAUGUCAGAGGGGGGUAGAAUUCCACGUGUAGCAGUGAAAUGCGUAGAGAUGUGGAGGAAUACCGAUGGCGAAGGCAGCCCCCUGGGAUAAUACUGACGUUCAUGCUCGAAAGCGUGGGUAGCAAACAGGAUUAGAAACCCUAGUAGUCC